Molecule: ribosomal RNA, 301 nt
Filed under: uncultured bacterium
Lineage: Bacteria
Description: partial 16S ribosomal RNA
Rfam family: Bacterial small subunit ribosomal RNA
Source: RNAcentral
CAGUCGCCACGGGAAUACGUAGGUGGCAAGCGUUGUCCGGAAUUAUUGGGCGUAAAGGGCUCGCAGGCGGUUUCUUAAGUCUGAUGUGAAAGCCCCCGGCUCAACCGGGGAGGGUCAUUGGAAACUGGGAAACUUGAGUGCAGAAGAGGAGAGUGGAAUUCCACGUGUAGCGGUGAAAUGCGUAGAGAUGUGGAGGAACACCAGUGGCGAAGGCGACUCUCUGGUCUGUAACUGACGCUGAGGAGCGAAAGCGUGAGGAGCGAACAGGAUUAGAUACCCGAGUAGUCCCUGUCUCUUAUAC